GAUGAACGCUGGCGGCGUGCCUAAUACAUGCAAGUAGAACGCUGAAGCUUGGUGCUUGCACCGAGCGGAUGAGUUGCGAACGGGUGAGUAACGCGUAGGUAACCUGCCUCUUAGCGGGGGAUAACUAUUGGAAACGAUAGCUAAUACCGCAUAAAAGUCGAUAUCGCAUGAUAUUGAUUUGAAAGGUGCAAAUGCAUCACUAAGAGAUGGACCUGCGUUGUAUUAGCUAGUUGGUGAGGUAACGGCUCACCAAGGCGACGAUACAUAGCCGACCUGAGAGGGUGAUCGGCCACACUGGGACUGAGACACGGCCCAGACUCCUACGGGAGGCAGCAGUAGGGAAUCUUCGGCAAUGGGGGCAACCCUGACCGAGCAACGCCGCGUGAGUGAAGAAGGUUGUCGGAUCGUAAAGCUCGGUUGUAAGAGAAGAACGAGUGUGAGAGUGGAAAGUUCACACUGUGACGGUAACUUACCAGAAAGGGACGGCUAACUACGUG
Molecule: ribosomal RNA, 497 nt
Filed under: uncultured bacterium
Lineage: Bacteria
Description: partial 16S ribosomal RNA
Rfam family: Bacterial small subunit ribosomal RNA
Source: RNAcentral